This 73-nucleotide transfer RNA is filed under the name Stegodyphus dumicola. RNAcentral describes it as "tRNA-Ser". It matches the Rfam family "tRNA". Rfam says of the family: Transfer RNA (tRNA) molecules are approximately 80 nucleotides in length. The record is from RNAcentral. Lineage: Eukaryota; Metazoa; Arthropoda; Arachnida; Araneae; Eresidae.
GCCUUCGUAGUGUAGUGGUCAGCACGCUGGGCGCGAAUUCCAGAGGUCUCCGGUUCAAUUCCUGGCGAAGGCG